GGUUAACCGGUGGCGGACGUGCCUAACACAUGCAAGUCGAACGGUUCUAAGCGCGAGCUUAGGAUAGUGGCGAACGGGUGAGUAAAAGGUAGGAAUCUACCCCUUGGACGGAGAUAGCUACUGGAAACGGUAGGUAAACUUCGAUAAGCCCGAGAGGGGAAAGUGGUGAGACAGCCGAGGGAUGAGCCUACUCUCCAUCAGGUAGUUGGUGAGAUAAAAGCUUACCAAGCCGAUGACGGAUAACCGGUGUGAGAGCAUGAACGGUCACAAGGGCACUGAGAGACGGGCCCUACUCCUACGGGAGGCAGCAGUGGGGAAUCUUGGACAAUGGGCGAAAGCCUGAUCCAGCGACGCCGCGUGGAGGAAGAAGUCCUUCGGGAUGUAAACUUCUGAACUAGCCGAAUAAAAGGCCUGUGGACACACAGGAGAAGAAAGUAGGCUAGGAAAAGUCCCGGCUAACUACGUG
This 466-nucleotide ribosomal RNA is filed under the name uncultured bacterium. RNAcentral's name for it is "bacterial SSU rRNA". It matches the Rfam family "Bacterial small subunit ribosomal RNA", at positions 27 to 507 of the family's 1533-position model. The record is from RNAcentral.